GUUGUCGUCAGCUCGUGUCGUGAGAUGUUGGGUUAAGUCCCGCAACGAGCGCAACCCUUGAUUUUAGUUGCCAGCAUUUAGUUGGGCACUCUAAAGUGACUGCCGGUGCAAGCCGGAGGAAGGUGGGGAUGACGUCAAAUCAUCAUGCCCCUUAUGACCUGGGCUACACACGUGCUACAAUGGAUAGUACAAAGGGUCGCGAAGCCGCGAGGUGGAGCUAAUCCCAUAA
This 229-nucleotide ribosomal RNA is filed under the name Listeria monocytogenes. Its description in RNAcentral is "partial 16S ribosomal RNA". It matches the Rfam family "Bacterial small subunit ribosomal RNA", at positions 1048 to 1279 of the family's 1533-position model. Lineage: Bacteria; Bacillati; Bacillota; Bacilli; Caryophanales; Listeriaceae. The record is from RNAcentral.